This 402-nucleotide ribosomal RNA is filed under the name uncultured soil bacterium. RNAcentral's name for it is "bacterial SSU rRNA". It matches the Rfam family "Bacterial small subunit ribosomal RNA", at positions 26 to 433 of the family's 1533-position model. The record is from RNAcentral.
AGAUUGAACGCUGGCGGCAUGCCUUACACAUGCAAGUCGAACGGCAGCACGGGAGCAAUCCUGGUGGCGAGUGGCGAACGGGUGAGUAAUAUAUCGGAACGUGCCCAGUCGUGGGGGAUAACGCAGCGAAAGCUGUGCUAAUACCGCAUACGAUCUAUGGAUGAAAGCGGGGGAUCGCAAGACCUCGCGCGAUUGGAGCGGCCGAUAUCAGAUUAGCUAGUUGGUGGGGUAAAAGCCUACCAAGGCGACGAUCUGUAGCUGGUCUGAGAGGACGACCAGCCACACUGGAACUGAGACACGGUCCAGACUCCUACGGGAGGCAGCAGUGGGGAAUUUUGGACAAUGGGCGCAAGCCUGAUCCAGCAAUGCCGCGUGCAGGAUGAAGGCCUUGGUUGUAACUGC